Molecule: long non-coding RNA, 3064 nt
Filed under: Cricetulus griseus (Chinese hamster)
Lineage: Eukaryota; Metazoa; Chordata; Mammalia; Rodentia; Cricetidae
Description: lncRNA (ENSCGRG00015038818.1)
Rfam family: tRNA (bases 1316-1373)
Source: RNAcentral
UAGGGACUUCGCUCCCUCUGGAGGCUGCUGUGUCAGCCUGCUAGACGGAGUCCCUCCAGGUAGGAUUAAACAAUAAAGCCUUGUGUUUGCAGUUUGGUGAGUUUGUCUCCUUGGUAGUCUCUGGGGGGGUCUUUGAGACUUGGGCACAGCAUCAUUAGAAUAAUAUAAACAAGAGUGGCAGUAUUUGGUACAUAUAGGAUGUUGAACAAUGGGAACUUGUGUAUGAUGGAAAUUAGUGCAAUUACUUUGAACAUGAUUUGGUAAUAUCUAGUAAAGCUGAAAAUGUGCCAGAAGAAUAAGAUCCAGUCCAGGGUGUAUGUAGAAGGACUCUUCCUGCUCAUGUGUGUGGGAGAGUUAUGUGAGAAUGACAAAAUGCAUGUGUGAGAGGGUAGUUACAAUUCAGAGGUGCCUGACUUGUCCAUUGGAGACUACCGCCUGUCCCCUAGAAUCUGCUCUCAUCCUCUAACACCACAGGCUAGUGGGACACAUGGUUAGACUAUGUCUUACUUGUUGCCUUUUCUGUCCUCCAUAUGGUAAAUGAGUAGCCAGCUAAUGUUUCUCUGUUGGAAUGUGUGGAAGUGAUGUGUAUGCUUUGGAGACUGACUGUAAGUGAGGAAUAUAGCUAUGAUUAAUGGGUGACUACCAUUUACAUGGGCCUGUGUUUGGUCCCUGGCUCUGGGGAGAAAGUUCUCAUCUAGAUUCACUUCUCUUUGCUUCUUGGUGCCAUGAUUCGAGCUUUUCUGGUCUGCCACACCCUGUAUGUUUGAUAGACCAAUAUCUCUAAAGGUGUGACUAAAUAAAUUCCUCUUUAAAGGAAAAGGGAGAUCGUGUACCAUGCAUUCCUUUCCAAUUUUGUCUGUUAGAUGCAAAUGAGGCAAUGCCUCACAGGAUAAGAGUGUGCAAAAUGGAAGGUGGUAGACUCUGAGUCAGCCCCUGAAGGGGAGCUAUUUGCCAAGCAGGAGCACCUGAGACAUUAAAACCUACUCUGAUACAUUAUCUUUUCUAUCCAGAUGGAUAAAAUGUGAUAGUCACACAGUGGAAUACUGUCCUAGUUUGGUUCGUGUUUCUGUGAUAAACACCAUAUGCAAAAGCAACCUAGGGAGAAAAGGGUUUAUUUUAUUCUACAGCUUCUAGUCCUUCAUGGAGGGAAGCCAGGACAGGAGCUUCGGAACCUGGAGGCAGAAACAGAAGCAACAGGCUGUGGAGGAGUGCUAGUUCGUUCAUCGUGGGUUGCUCAGUUUGGUUUUUAAUGUAAUCCAGGCACCACUCCCACAUCAAUUAUCAAUUAAGAAAAUGCCCCCAGGGGCUGGAGAGAUGGCUCAGAGGUUAAGAGCACUGGCAGCUCUUCCAGAGGCCCUGAGUUCAAUUCUCAGCAACCACAUGGUGGCUCACAACCUUCUAUAAUGAGAUUUGGUGCCCUCUUCUGGUGUGUAGGCAUAUAUGCCAGAACACUGUAUACAUAAAAAAUAUUUUUAAAAAAUUUAAAAGAAGAAAGAAAAUGCCCCCCAAAGACUUGCCUAUAGGUCAUUCUGAUGGAGACAUUUUCUCAAUUGAGGUUCCCUCUUCCCAGAUGGCACUAGCUUGUGUCAAGUUGACAAAAACUUCACUAGUACAAAGUAUAUAUAGUUAUAUAGUUAUAUAGUUAUAUAGUUUAUAUAGUUAUAUAUUACAAAUUAUAUAUAUAGUUAUAUAUUACUAUAUAUAUAUAUAUAGUUAUAUAUUACAAAGUCACCAUCAGACAUACAUGCAAAACACCCAGAAAAUAAAAAUAAAUCAUCACAAAAAAUUUCUGUAUAACUCAGGAGUUCUUCUUUUAACAGCAAGUGACAUUUCUAAUCCUAUUAAAAGAGACAGAUGGAUGAGUGGUGGUGGCGCACACCUUUAAUUCUAGCACUUGAGAGGCAGAGGCAGGUGGAAGGUGGAUCUCUGUGAGUUUGAGGCCAGCCUGGUCUUCAAGAGUGAGUUACAGGAUAGCCAGGACUGUUACACAGAGAAACCCUGUCUUGAAAAAACCAAAAACAGAGAGAGAGAGAGAGAGAGAGAGAGAGAGAGAGAGAGAGAGAGAGAAGGAGAGAGGGAGGGAAGGAGGGAGGGAGAGAGAUAGGAGAGAGAGAGAGGAGAGGAGAGGAGAAAUAUGAUAUGCUGGGCAUGGUAAUCCAUAUAAUAUAGAUAAUAUAGAUUAGGUGUGUGUGUGUGUGUGUGUGUGUGUGUGUGUGUGUGUGUGUGUGUGUGUGUUCAAGCGCCACAGUAAACAUGUGGGAGUCGUAAGACAACUUAUGGGAGUUAGUUCUCACCUUUCCAUCAUGUGGAUUCUAGAGAUCAAACUCAAGUCAUCUCAAGAACACUCCUUGGGCCUUGGUGAUGAGUGUCCUGAAGUUGACCAGAGUGUUGGGUUUACGGUGAGUGAUGCCACACCAAGCUUCAACUGGUGCUGGAGACUGAACUCGGGGCUCACCAGGUAAGCACUCUGACAAGCCACAUCUCAGCCCCUCUCAUUCACUUAAUUCUUAAUUUUUUCAAAUUGUAUUUAGUGCGAUCUGACAAUCCAGGCAAUGUUGGAGAGGAUAACCUAAAAGCCCUUCCCCUAAAAUGAGAUUGAUGACUUCUCUUUAUGCCAUCCUAGAGCCCUCAUCCAGUGGCUGAUGGAAGCAGAGACUGACAUCCACAGAUAUACACUGAGCUGAAAUCUGGAAUUUAGUUGAAGAGAGGGAGGAAUGAAGAGCGAAGGGGUCUGUACCAGGUUGGAGAAACCCACAGAAACAGUUGGCCUGAACAAGGGGGAGAACAUCGACCCCAGAUGCUGUCCAGGAGGCCAGUACAACACUGAUCCAGACCCCUGAACAUGGAUGUCAAUAAGGAGGCCUCUGCACUCCAGGGAGCCUGUGGUGAUGGAUUAGCAUUUUUCCCUGGUGUAAGAAGGAACUUUGAGAGCCCAUCCCACGUGAAGGGAUACACUCUGGCCCUGGACACAUGGGGAAGGGCCUAGGCCCAGCACAGGAAGAUUUGGUGGACUUUGCAGAACUCCCGUUGAGGGCUCUACCCUGCAUGGGGAGUGGUGGGUGGA